UCGGAAUGAAAAUGGCCCCAGGUGAACCAGUGAUCUGGGGUCAGACAACUGGGCCUAGAGUACUGUGGUGCAUUAAGCUUAUUACGUGCCUCUCCUGGUGGCUGCGUGAUGAAACCCAUGUACCAACACGC
Cyclopterus lumpus (lumpfish) is the source of this 131-nucleotide small nucleolar RNA. Lineage: Eukaryota; Metazoa; Chordata; Actinopteri; Perciformes; Cyclopteridae. The record is from Ensembl.